This 479-nucleotide unclassified non-coding RNA is filed under the name Mascagnia divaricata. RNAcentral's name for it is "partial contains external transcribed spacer and 18S ribosomal RNA". The stretch from base 421 to 479 matches the Rfam family "Eukaryotic small subunit ribosomal RNA", at positions 1 to 59 of the family's 1831-position model. The record is from RNAcentral. Lineage: Eukaryota; Viridiplantae; Streptophyta; Magnoliopsida; Malpighiales; Malpighiaceae.
UGUUGGGAUAGUUGGCUCCGUGCAUUUGCAUCGAACUUCUAGACCGCAUCCUUUUCAUAGCUCAAGCAAAAAAAAUAUUGCUUGAUGGUCGGUUGCGUUCCUGUAUUCGGUACCCAGGUUAGUGGUAUGACGCUUAUGUUUUGUCUCUGUCCAUCGGUGCCCUUUUAAGGGCAUCGAGUGGAGCACGUAGUUUGGUCUGCCAAACCUCGCAAGCUGUUUUUGCUACGACGGUUGUUGGAUCAAAGCUUGUGUUCUCGGAUGCGGAAAAUAAUAUGGGUCCAAGGAUUUAGUCCUUGUAUUAGGCCUAUAUCGGAAAUCGUCCCUUGAUAAGAACGACAUCCUUUGUGCGUUAUGAUUUUGUCCGAUGCCCGUUUGGGCAGAGGAUGCAUCGUGCGUGCAUCGGUGUCAUCGAAGGAAUGCUACCUGGUUGAUCCUGCCAGUAGUCAUAUGCUUGUCUCAAAGAUUAAGCCAUGCAUGUG